RNAcentral lists this ribosomal RNA (800 nucleotides) under Citricoccus sp. Mg76. RNAcentral's name for it is "bacterial SSU rRNA". It matches the Rfam family "Bacterial small subunit ribosomal RNA", at positions 59 to 866 of the family's 1533-position model. The record is from RNAcentral. Lineage: Bacteria; Bacillati; Actinomycetota; Actinomycetes; Micrococcales; Micrococcaceae.
CAGUCGAACGCUGAAGCUCCAGCUUGCUGGGGUGGAUGAGUGGCGAACGGGUGAGUAACACGUGAGUAACCUUCCCUUGACUCUGGGAUAAGCCCGGGAAACUGGGUCUAAUACCGGAUAUGACCUCCUGUCGCAUGGUGGGGGGUGGAAAGAUUUAUCGGUCUUGGAUGGACUCGCGGCCUAUCAGCUUGUUGGUGAGGUAAUGGCUCACCAAGGCGACGACGGGUAGCCGGCCUGAGAGGGUGACCGGCCACACUGGGACUGAGACACGGCCCAGACUCCUACGGGAGGCAGCAGUGGGGAAUAUUGCACAAUGGGCGCAAGCCUGAUGCAGCGACGCCGCGUGAGGGAUGACGGCCUUCGGGUUGUAAACCUCUUUCAGUAGGGAAGAAGCCUUCGGGUGACGGUACCUGCAGAAGAAGCGCCGGCUAACUACGUGCCAGCAGCCGCGGUAAUACGUAGGGCGCGAGCGUUAUCCGGAAUUAUUGGGCGUAAAGAGCUCGUAGGCGGUUUGUCGCGUCUGCCGUGAAAGUCCGGGGCUUAACCCCGGAUCUGCGGUGGGUACGGGCAGACUAGAGUGCAGUAGGGGAGACCGGAAUUCCUGGUGUAGCGGUGAAAUGCGCAGAUAUCAGGAGGAACACCGAUGGCGAAGGCAGGUCUCUGGGCUGUUACUGACGCUGAGGAGCGAAAGCAUGGGGAGCGAACAGGAUUAGAUACCCUGGUAGUCCAUGCCGUAAACGUUGGGCACUAGGUGUGGGGGACAUUCCACGUUUUCCGCGCCGCAGCUAACGCAUUAAGUG